UUAGCUCAUAUUUGUAUGGAGAGAGAUCGUUUGCCUACGUUUGCCGCUAGGGGCGCUGUUCCAACUGCAUACAAAAUUGGGUUA
Molecule: microRNA precursor, 84 nt
Filed under: Bombyx mori (domestic silkworm)
Lineage: Eukaryota; Metazoa; Arthropoda; Insecta; Lepidoptera; Bombycidae
Description: mir-2807 microRNA precursor family
Rfam family: mir-2807 microRNA precursor family
Source: Rfam by way of RNAcentral